GACGAACGCUGGGGGGGGGCUAAACACUUGAAAGUGGAACGAAAAGCCCCGGCUUUGGGGGGUGGCUGAGGGGGGAACGGGGGAGGAAACCGUGAGUUACCCGGCCCUGAACUUGGGGUUACUUUAGGAAACCGGGGGUAAUAACCGAAUGGAGCCUCUGCCGCCUGGUGGGGGUUGGAAAGUUUCGGCGGUUGGGGAUGGACUCGCGGCUUAUCAGCUUGUUGGUGGGGUAGUGGCUUACCAAGGCUUUGACGGGUAGCCGGCCUGAGAGGGUGACCGGCCACAUUGGGACUGAGAUACGGCCCAGACUCCUACGGGAGGCAGCAGUGGGGAAUAUUGCACAAUGGGCGGAAGCCUGAUGCAGCAACGCCGCGUGCGGGAUGACGGCCUUCGGGUUGUAAACCGCUUUCGCCUGUGACGAAGCGUGAGUGACGGUAAUGGGUAAAGAAGCACCGGCUAACUACGUG
Molecule: ribosomal RNA, 467 nt
Filed under: uncultured bacterium
Lineage: Bacteria
Description: partial 16S ribosomal RNA
Rfam family: Bacterial small subunit ribosomal RNA
Source: RNAcentral